This 801-nucleotide long non-coding RNA is filed under the name Salmo salar (Atlantic salmon). RNAcentral describes it as "lncRNA (ENSSSAG00000102659.1)". The record is from RNAcentral. Lineage: Eukaryota; Metazoa; Chordata; Actinopteri; Salmoniformes; Salmonidae.
CGCGGGAAAAGGGACACUAGCAACAAAAGGAGUUAGAUAUGGAUCAUUGGGUCUGCGCGCGGGCCGCAGCUUGAACCAAUUAUUGGUGUCAUCUUGAUCCAAUUUAAUCAAUCCGAGGGGGGACUCGAGGGGGGCGGGUGCAAACGUUGGUCAAAUACACCCCCUCCCCUCCCCCCUUCUGCUGUGACCACUGGUGACUGUUGGAAAAACCAAGAAGACCUCCCAUCCACUUCACAUCAAAGAAUGCCUCUUCCAUUGAAACGAAGAGGGUGACUCUUCAUCUGGUAGCCAAGUUUACACGUCAUCUGACAGAAAGAGGCUUCAAACAAACAAUCUCUGCUCUUAAAGUAAACACCAGUGUUAACUGGCCUAAAUAUUUACCUUUUCGCUCUUUUCAUCCCUCUAUCCGUCCUGUCUUUCACGUUGAUGAGCCACACGCCUAGCACUGGCUUUGAGAUGGCUAUCACACACUCAGUGUAUCAAUCAUUUGGGUAGACGGGGGUAUACAACAUAUGGGCCCUCUAGCCCUUGGGGUGCAAUGGUAGGAGGGUUAUGAGGUGUGUGUGUUUGUGUGUGUAUGUGUGUAAACUCUUGAGACAUGUUGACAGAAGAGGUAAACUGUGGAGGUACACUCACAAGCACAGAGGGAGGAAGGAAGAGAGAGAGAGAGAGAGAGAGCGAGAGAGAGAGAGCGAGAGAGAGAGAGAGAGUGGGGAUAAGUGUGUCGGAUAAGUGUGUUUUCAUAACAGUUUCCAUAAUAAAAAUCAAACACACACACACACACACACACACACACACACA